RNAcentral lists this ribosomal RNA (586 nucleotides) under uncultured bacterium. RNAcentral describes it as "partial 16S ribosomal RNA". It matches the Rfam family "Bacterial small subunit ribosomal RNA", at positions 355 to 1375 of the family's 1533-position model. The record is from RNAcentral.
UGGGGAAUUUUGGACAAUGGGCGAAAGCCUGAUCCAGCAAUGCCGCGUGUGUGAAGAAGGCCUUCGGGUUGUAAAGCACUUUUGUCCGGAAAGAAAUCCUCUGGGUUAAUACCUCGGGGGGAUGACGGUACCGGAAGAAUAAGCACCGGCUAACUACGUGCCAGCAGCCGCGGUAAUACGUAGGGUGCAAGCGUUAAUCGGAAUUACUGGGCGUAAAGCGUGCGCAGGCGGUUUUGUAAGACGGAUGUGAAAUCCCCGGGCUUAACCUGGGAACUGCAUUCGUGACUGCAAGGCUAGAGUAUGGCAGAGGGGGGUUAGAAUUCCACGUGUAGCAGUGAAAUGCGUAGAGAUGUGGAGGAAUACCGAUGGCGAAGGCAGCCCCCUGGGCCAAUACUGACGCUCAUGCACGAAAGCGUGGGGAGCAAACAGGAUUAGAUACCCUGGUAGUCCACGCCCUAAACGAUGUCAACUAGUUGUUGGGGAUUCAUUUCCUUAGUAACGUAGCUAACGCGUGAAGUUGACCGCCUGGGGAGUACGGUCGCAAGAUUAAAACUCAAAUGAAUUGACGGGGUCAUAGCUGUUUCCU